GAAAUCCCGAGGCCCMACYUCGGAACUGCAUUGGAAACUGAUUUACUUGAGUGCGAUAGAGGCAAGUGGAACUCCAUGUGUAGCGGUGAAAUGCGUAGAUAUGUGGAAGAACACCAGUGGCGAAAGCGGCUUGCUAGAUCGUAACUGACGUUGAGGCUCGAAAGUAUGGGUAGCAAACGGGAUUAGAUACCCCGGUAGUCCAUACCGUAAACGAUGGGUGCUAGUUGUUAAGAGGUUUCCGCCUCCUAGUGACGUAGCAAACGCAUUAAGCACCCCGCCUGAGGAGUACGGCCGCAAGGCUAAAACUUAAAGGAAUUGACGGGGACCCGCACAAGCGGUGGAGCAUGUGGUUUAAUUCGAAGAUACGCGAAAAACCUUACCAGGUCUUGACAUACCAAUGAUCGCUUUUGUAAUGAAAGCUUUUCUUCGGAACAUUGGAUACAGGUGGUGCAUGGUCGUWGUCAGCUCGUGUCGUGAGAUGUUGGGUUAAGUCCCGCAACGAGCGCAACCCUUGUUAUUAGUUGCCAGCAUUUAGUUGGGCACUCUAAUGAGACUGCCGGUGAUAAACCGGAGGAAGGUGGGGACGACGUCAGAUCAUCAUGCCCCUUAUGACCUGGGCAACACACGUGCUACAAUGGGAAGUACAACGAGUCGCAAACCGGCGACGGUAAGCUAAUCUCUUAAAACUUCUCUCAGUUCGGACUGGAGUCUGCAACUCGACUCCACGAAGGCGGAAUCGCUAGUAAUCGCGAAUCAGCAUGUCGCGGUGAAUACGUUCCCGGGUCUUGUACACACCGCCCGUCAAAUCAUGGGAGUCGGAAGUACCC
This 827-nucleotide ribosomal RNA is filed under the name Oenococcus oeni. RNAcentral's name for it is "bacterial SSU rRNA". It matches the Rfam family "Bacterial small subunit ribosomal RNA", at positions 596 to 1422 of the family's 1533-position model. Lineage: Bacteria; Bacillati; Bacillota; Bacilli; Lactobacillales; Lactobacillaceae. The record is from RNAcentral.